UCGAGUGCAAAAGAAGUCGGCCAUUUUUAAAUGUAGAAACAACGGGAAUAACAAUAGAUUAAAAACUCUUGUUUUACAAGGAUACCUUGGCAAUGUGUGAGUACAUUCGAGUGGCUGAGGACGAACACGUUCCUGAGGAUGCUAUCGAACUACCCAGCGACGAAGAUGGUAGUAUAUUAUUGUCCACAAUUCAAGCGCAGUUUCCCGGAAGCACCGGACUAAGAUUUCGAAACGAAGAAACUCAGACAUGGCGAGGUGUUAGAAUCGCUGAUGGCGUCUUAUUUCCGCCCGUGACCGGCUGGGGAAACAAUCUGUAUAUUGUUGUUGCAAAUAAAUCUGGUGUUGACAGUUCAUCAAAGAGAAAGUACGAGGAAUCACCUACUGGACGAGAGCUUCAUACCAAAAUCAUGAAAAACUACUCAAUGGAAACAGAUGAAGAAUUGCUGAGUGAUAUGAUUAUCCUAGGACUCUCUUGGAAGGCUAAAGAUGAAGAUAUCCGAGAUUAUUUUUCACGUUUUGGAGAACUUGAUUACUAUGAAGUGAAGCGUAAUAUACAGACUGGCCAGUCCCGUGGAUUUGGUUUCAUUCGUUUUAAAGAAGCAGAGGUUGCAAAGGCAGUGUUAUCUCGUAGUCAUACUAUUUUGGAUCGAAGAGUCGACAUAAGGUUAUCAAAGGGAAAGGAUGAGUCACCAAGAAAGAUUUUCAUUGGUCGACUUCCAACCAAUUGUACAGUGUCAGAUGUUCAAAAUUACUUUGAGAAAUAUGGUAGACUGUCAGAUGUAUACCUACCCCAGCCCUAUCGGCAAUUUGGUUUUGUUACAUUUACAUCAUGUGAAGCUGCUCGCAAUGUACUUUCACGUGUGCAUAUAAUUAAUGGAUCUCGUAUCAAUUGUACACCGGCAGAGCCAAAAUCACAAAGUAAGGGUCAUGGACACAUGACACGUUCCCAUGAAAGCCCUGCAUCCCCACGUGAAAUGAGAGGGUUUUGGAAUGGAAACAUGGUACCAUAUGGGAGCUUCCCUGAGCGUGGUGGAUCAACUUCCUUGGCGAAUCAGAUGAAUGCAAUGUGGAAUAUGGCAGCACUAGCCCAAGGAAUGGCAGCUGGAAUGGCUGGUGGUAUGGGAGGUAGUAUGGGAUCACCAAUGACUAUGAGUGGUAUGAAUGGUAUGGGUAGUACAGGUGGUGGAAUGCCAUCAUCGCAUAUGGUUAGCAGCAUGAGUGGAGGGAAUGGGAUGGGAAUGAGCCAUGCAGGAUCAAGUGGGAUGGAUGGAAGUACCAGUGAAAGGUGGUAGAUAGUAAGUGGAGAGGAGAAGGUCAUGUGAAAAACCAAGACUGCGUCAGAUAAUGAAAGCAGACUGACGUUUUAUAUGUUUUUCAGUGUUGUGAAUAAAGUAAGGAAAGUAGAUAAUAGAUUAUAUUAUUUGGAGUUUUACUUUUUUUUCAAUUUUUCUUGUGAAUAAGAAACAACUACAUAUAUCACCCAUCACUAAGAUCCAUUCAGAAAAUAUUGGUGUGUUCUAAAUCCCGAUUACUCAGUAAAUUCUUUGUGGUGUAAGGUUGAAAUGUGGGAAUAGAAUUCUUUACGAGGAAAGAGAAAAGAUACAAAGAAAAGUGAGCAUUUUGCAUUGAUUGAGGAAAUGAUUUUGAAAGGAAAUUGUAUGAAAUUGUGAAGGGAAAGUUUGAGGAAAGAACGGCAGAAAUGUGAGCACUCUGUAUGAAAGGUGUUAAAAGAGAAUUUUUAAUUUUGUCAAUAUUAAGAUAAAAUAGGCAACAAAAGAUGUAUGUACAGAUUAAAGCUCAUAAGGAGAUAAAGAAUCAGGUAAUUUUGAUGGUGGAGCAAAAAAGGAGUGAAAAUUAAACUAAUUGUACAAGGUUUCUCAUAACUGGCCAUCAUUGUCUUGAUUUUUCCAACAGCUUCUCCUGGAUUCAGGCCCUGAAGGAAGAAGAAGGAAUGAGAUGCCAUUAAUCUUCUAAUGUGUACAUCAUUUGGUCUCCUUGUUUUUUUCUGAAACCCAGGUAAAGCUAGGAUAUGGCAAUACAAACCUUAGG
This 2049-nucleotide unclassified non-coding RNA is filed under the name Dendronephthya gigantea. RNAcentral describes it as "tAR DNA-binding protein 43-like, transcript variant X1". The record is from RNAcentral. Lineage: Eukaryota; Metazoa; Cnidaria; Anthozoa; Malacalcyonacea; Nephtheidae.